RNAcentral lists this long non-coding RNA (344 nucleotides) under Panax ginseng (ginseng). Its description in RNAcentral is "long non-coding RNA (PGIN_LNC003234)". The record is from RNAcentral. Lineage: Eukaryota; Viridiplantae; Streptophyta; Magnoliopsida; Apiales; Araliaceae.
GGUUUUCUGGGUAACCCAGAAACCCAGGCAGUCACAAGUAGGCACUUUUGAGCUCAAUUUAAUUUAGGUUACGAUCAUUAUUUAAGUGACUUCUUGGUUCAUUAAAGUAGUAUACAUGACAAUGAACAACGACAUAUCAAGAUCUCAGUCAAACUAUAACACAGCCACCAGAUUUAAUCUGAUCAAUCCUUAUCAGACAACUCGUGCCAUCAGUUUCUGGAAAUUCCAGAAACUUAAUCUUUUAUCAAAAGGUCUAGUUUGACCACUUACUACACUUGAUAUAUUGACUGUUUGUAAGAUCUAAAACCAUGGAUCGAGAGUUCACAUAUCACACUAUAAUCUAG